This 451-nucleotide ribosomal RNA is filed under the name uncultured Nannocystineae bacterium. RNAcentral's name for it is "bacterial SSU rRNA". It matches the Rfam family "Bacterial small subunit ribosomal RNA", at positions 933 to 1382 of the family's 1533-position model. Lineage: Bacteria; Pseudomonadati; Myxococcota; Myxococcia; Myxococcales. The record is from RNAcentral.
UGGAGUAUGUGGUUUAAUUCGAUGCAACGCGAGAACCUUGCCUGGGUUGGAAACCCUGGAAUCCUGCAGAGAUGUGGGAGUGCUCUUUUAGAGAAUCAGGUGUCCAGGUGCUGCAUGGUUGUCGUCAGCUCGUGUCGUGAGAUGUUGGGUUAAGUCCCGCAACGAGCGUAACCCCUGUUGUUAGUUGCCAGCGAUUCGGUCGGGCACUCUAACGAGACUGCCGGUGGUAAGCCGGAGGAAGGUGGGGAUGACGUCAAAUCCUCAUGGCCCUUAUGCCCAGGGCUACACACGUACUACAAUGGUCGGUACAAAGGGCUGCGAACCCGCGAGGGGGAGCCAAUCCCAAAAAGCCGACCUCAGUUCGGAUUGUAGUCUGCAACUCGACUACAUGAAGGUGGAAUCGCUAGUAAUCGCGGAUCAGCAUGCCGCGGUGAAUACGUUCCCGGGCCUU